RNAcentral lists this ribosomal RNA (1080 nucleotides) under Cobetia amphilecti. Its description in RNAcentral is "bacterial SSU rRNA". It matches the Rfam family "Bacterial small subunit ribosomal RNA", at positions 455 to 1533 of the family's 1533-position model. RNAcentral also lists the same sequence under 1 other name. The record is from RNAcentral. Lineage: Bacteria; Pseudomonadati; Pseudomonadota; Gammaproteobacteria; Oceanospirillales; Halomonadaceae.
UAAUACUCCCGAGGAAAGACAUCACUCGCAGAAGAAGCACCGGCUAACUCCGUGCCAGCAGCCGCGGUAAUACGGAGGGUGCAAGCGUUAAUCGGAAUUACUGGGCGUAAAGCGCGCGUAGGUGGCUAAGUCAGCCAGGUGUGAAAGCCCCGGGCUCAACCUGGGAACGGCAUCUGGAACUGCUUGGCUAGAGUGCAGGAGAGGAAGGUAGAAUUCCCGGUGUAGCGGUGAAAUGCGUAGAGAUCGGGAGGAAUACCAGUGGCGAAGGCGGCCUUCUGGACUGACACUGACACUGAGGUGCGAAAGCGUGGGUAGCAAACAGGAUUAGAUACCCUGGUAGUCCACGCCGUAAACGAUGUCAACUAGCCGUUGGGUCCCUUGAGGACUUAGUGGCGCAGCUAACGCAAUAAGUUGACCGCCUGGGGAGUACGGCCGCAAGGUUAAAACUCAAAUGAAUUGACGGGGGCCCGCACAAGCGGUGGAGCAUGUGGUUUAAUUCGAUGCAACGCGAAGAACCUUACCUACCCUUGACAUCCAGAGGACUUUCCAGAGAUGGAUUGGUGCCUUCGGGAACUCUGAGACAGGUGCUGCAUGGCUGUCGUCAGCUCGUGUUGUGAAAUGUUGGGUUAAGUCCCGUAACGAGCGCAACCCCUAUCCUUAUUUGCCAGCGAGUAAUGUCGGGAACUCUAAGGAGACUGCCGGUGACAAACCGGAGGAAGGUGGGGACGACGUCAAGUCAUCAUGGCCCUUACGGGUAGGGCUACACACGUGCUACAAUGGCAAGUACAAAGGGUUGCAAUACUGCGAAGUGGAGCCAAUCCCAUAAAGCUUGCCUCAGUCCGGAUUGGAGUCUGCAACUCGACUCCAUGAAGUCGGAAUCGCUAGUAAUCGUGGAUCAGAAUGCCACGGUGAAUACGUUCCCGGGCCUUGUACACACCGCCCGUCACACCAUGGGAGUGGACUGCACCAGAAGUGGUUAGCCUAACCUUCGGGAGGGCGAUCACCACGGUGUGGUUCAUGACUGGGGUGAAGUCGUAACAAGGUAGCCCUAGGGGAACCUGGGGCUGGAUCACCUCCUUA